This 1346-nucleotide ribosomal RNA is filed under the name uncultured bacterium. RNAcentral describes it as "partial 16S ribosomal RNA". It matches the Rfam family "Bacterial small subunit ribosomal RNA", at positions 28 to 1381 of the family's 1533-position model. The record is from RNAcentral.
GACGAACGCUGGCGGCGUGCUUAACACAUGCAAGUCGAACGGAAAGGCCCUGCUUUUGUGGGGUGCUCGAGUGGCGAACGGGUGAGUAACACGUGAGUAACCUGCCCUUGACUUUGGGAUAACUUCAGGAAACUGGGGCUAAUACCGGAUAGGAGCUCCUGCUGCAUGGUGGGGGUUGGAAAGUUUCGGCGGUUGGGGAUGGACUCGCGGCUUAUCAGCUUGUUGGUGGGGUAGUGGCUUACCAAGGCUUUGACGGGUAGCCGGCCUGAGAGGGUGACCGGCCACAUUGGGACUGAGAUACGGCCCAGACUCCUACGGGAGGCAGCAGUGGGGAAUAUUGCACAAUGGGCGGAAGCCUGAUGCAGCAACGCCGCGUGCGGGAUGACGGCCUUCGGGUUGUAAACCGCUUUCGCCUGUGACGAAGCGUGAGUGACGGUAAUGGGUAAAGAAGCACCGGCUAACUACGUGCCAGCAGCCGCGGUGAUACGUAGGGUGCGAGCGUUGUCCGGAUUUAUUGGGCGUAAAGGGCUCGUAGGUGGUUGAUCGCGUCGGAAGUGUAAUCUUGGGGCUUAACCCUGAGCGUGCUUUCGAUACGGGUUGACUUGAGGAAGGUAGGGGAGAAUGGAAUUCCUGGUGGAGCGGUGGAAUGCGCAGAUAUCAGGAGGAACACCAGUGGCGAAGGCGGUUCUCUGGGCCUUUCCUGACGCUGAGGAGCGAAAGCGUGGGGAGCGAACAGGCUUAGAUACCCUGGUAGUCCACGCUGUAAACGGUGGGUACUAGGCGUGGGGUCCACUCCACGGGUUCCGUGCCGUAGCUAACGCUUUAAGUACCCCGCCUGGGGAGUACGGCCGCAAGGCUAAAACUCAAAGGAAUUGACGGGGCCCCGCACAAGCGGCGGAGCAUGCGGAUUAAUUCGAUGCAACGCGUAGAACCUUACCUGGGUUUGACAUGGAUCGGGAGUGCUCAGAGAUGGGUGUGCCUCUUUUGGGGUCGGUUCACAGGUGGUGCAUGCCUGUCGUCAGCUCGUGUCGUGAGAUGUUGGGUUAAGUCCCACAACGAGCGCAACCCUUGUUCACUGUUGCCAGCACGUUAUGGUGGGGACUCAGUGGAGACCGCCGGGGUCAACUCGGAGGAAGGUGGGGAUGACGUCAAGUCAUCAUGCCCCUUAUGUCCAGGGCUUCACGCAUGCUACAAUGGCUGGUACAGAGAGUGGCGAGCCUGUGAGGGUGAGCGAAUCUCGGAAAGCCGGUCUCAGUUCGGAUUGGGGUCUGCAACUCGACCUCAUGAAGUCGGAGUCGCUAGUAAUCGCAGAUCAGCAACGCUGCGGUGAAUACGUUCCCGGGGCU